GUUUGUUUGUAGAUAUAGGUAAUUUGACCUGCCCCCUGAUUUAGAAUUAAAGGGCCGCAGUAUUAUAACUGUGCAAAGGUAGCAUAAUCAUUAGGUUUUUAAUUGGGAUCUUGUAUGAAUGGUCGGACAAAAGAAAUUCUCUCUUUAUAUUAAAUUUUAAAUUUAACUUUUAAGUGAAAAGGCUUAAAUGGGCUAAAGGGACGAUAAGACCCUAUAAAACUUUACAUUGUAAUUAUAUUUAAGUGAAUUUAUAAAUAAAGGUUUGAUUUAAUUAUUUGUUAUGUUGGGGAGACACAUGUAAAAUUAUAUUUAACUGCUUUGGUAAUUUAUACAAUUAUUAUUGAUAAAUAAAAGAUCCUUUUUAAAGAUUAUUAGAUUAAGUUACUUUAGGGAUAACAGCAUAAUCUCUUUUGAGAGUUCCUAUCGAAAAAGGGGAUUGUGACCUCGAUGUUGAAUUAAAAUGUCUUUAUAAUGGAGAGGUUAUAUAAGAAGGCCUGUUCGGCCUUUAAAUUUUUACAUGAUUUGAGUUCAAACCGGUGUGAG
Molecule: ribosomal RNA, 543 nt
Filed under: Hainanpotamon fuchengense
Lineage: Eukaryota; Metazoa; Arthropoda; Malacostraca; Decapoda; Potamidae
Description: partial 16S rRNA
Rfam family: Bacterial large subunit ribosomal RNA
Source: RNAcentral